RNAcentral lists this ribosomal RNA (499 nucleotides) under uncultured Glomeromycotina. RNAcentral describes it as "partial small subunit ribosomal RNA". It matches the Rfam family "Eukaryotic small subunit ribosomal RNA", at positions 591 to 1092 of the family's 1831-position model. Lineage: Eukaryota; Fungi; Glomeromycota. The record is from RNAcentral.
CCAAUAGCGUAUAUUAAAGUUGCUGCAGUUAAAAAGCUCGUAGUUGAAUUUCGGGACCAUCAUGUCGGUCGUGCCUCGGUACGUACUGGUAUUGUUGGUUUCUCCCUUCUGACGAACCAUGAUGUCAUUUAUUUGGUGUUGUGGGGAAUCGGGACUGUUACUUUGAAAAAAUUAGAGUGUUUAAAGCAGGCUCACGCUUGAAUACAUUAGCAUGGAAUAAUGAAAUAGGACGUUUGAUUCUAUUUUGUUGGUUUCUAGGAUCGACGUAAUGAUUAAUAGGGAUAGUUGGGGGCAUUAGUAUUCAAUUGUCAGAGGUGAAAUUCUUGGAUUUAUUGAAGACUAACUACUGCGAAAGCAUUUGCCAAGGAUGUUUUCAUUAAUCAAGAACGAAAGUUAGGGGAUCGAAGACGAUCAGAUACCGUCGUAGUCUUAACCAUAAACUAUGCCGACUAGGGAUCGGAUGAUGUUAAUUUUUUAAUGACUCAUUCGGCGCCUUACG